Erpetoichthys calabaricus (reedfish) is the source of this 1553-nucleotide long non-coding RNA. RefSeq lists it as uncharacterized. The transcript has 2 exons. Lineage: Eukaryota; Metazoa; Chordata; Cladistia; Polypteriformes; Polypteridae. The record is from RefSeq and is a predicted model, not a curated record.
GUUUGCAAUGGCUUAUGGGUAGUUUGAACACACACAACAUAGCGUUCCGCCAUUAAUCUAGUUGAAGCCAAUGGCAAAAGAAAGUGGACGCUCUGUUUUGGGAUUGCUUCAUUGUCAAGCAACACAUCAUGGUGAGGAUUCUUUGGGCAGAUGGAAUGAAACCUGCUGAUGUUGGCUCAGAAUCAAAGUGACAACAGCAUAACUCAAUGAAAAGUUAGAAAUGGUGCAAAGAUUUUAAAGCAGAAAGGACAAGUGUAACCAACAAAGCUCGAUCUGGUCGACCAUCAACAUCUGACACACAAUCUCACAUCGUCAUGGUGAAUGCCUUCAUCAGAGAAGACCUACAGAUCACAUUGUCUGCUGUUGCUGCACAUAUGGAUAUCAGCUAUGGAUGUGGAUCUGCACAUGGGGCACAGUAAUGUUUGCACAAGAUGUGUACCCGAACAGCUUACUGAUCUUCACAAGCCAACCUCCUUCAGUGAAUUUCAGCAGCUUUCACUUCUGCCUAAAGAUCUAUCAUAAUGCUGUGGUGUUCAACAAUGGUGCAUUCUUGAAACACAGCCUUCAUGUUCAUUUGACCUUGGCUUCAACUAGACUUAACAGCAGAGCACUGCAUUGUGUGUGUUUCAACUACCCAUAAGCCAUUGUGAACUUGUAUAAUGUUAGCUUCUAUCCAUGGUGCUUACCACAUCAUUUUCAAGUUGCCUUUACUUUUUGAUUCAACUCGGCAAAAGGAUUUUAUAUUUGAAAUAUGAACGAUUUUACAAUAAAUUAUGGUUUAUUGUCAGACCAUUUCUACCACGCUUGAUUAUGUGUACACACACAAGUGUCCCACACAAACAUGCAAAAAUAUCUGACAAGCAUGUAAUAUUUUCUCAUCUGUUCAAGAAAUGUUUUCUUUUUUUUUUCGGUAAUGCCCCUUCAGUGGCUCUGUAAUCUUGUAUGUAAGUUCUUUUCAACUUAUUGUCUUUAAUUUGGCCUUUUCAUGCCCUGACUGUUUUGUUUUUUCAGAGCAAUAUCCUACUAACACCAUAAGAAUGCAACUGGGAAAAUACACAGUGGAAAUGCAAUCAUUUUAGAAGUGGUUUUGGCCAAAGGGAAUGAUUAGAUAAUCUUGGGCAGUUGUCACCAGAGAAUUCUUGUAAGUUUUAAAUAUAUGGAGGAGUUGUCUUCUGUUUUAGUAGUGACAAGAUUUCGAGGCAGAUUAUGCACCUCCAGUCCACAUUAUAGAGAUGAUUGUAGCCCAUGGGUAUUUGAAACUGCGUCUCCUGCAAAGCAGAAGCUGAAUGUGAGUAUUAUUAUUAGGCUGGCAUAUCUUAGCCAGAGGGCAAACUCUGCUGUGUUUACAACAGAAGAAAUCAAUAUCCACUGAAUCUUCCUGCUGCUAAAAUGAAGGGAACAGGCACGUGUCUUCAUAAACUGUCAGCCUGCUGUGCUGUGGAUUUUCUACAAAGGGCUAUCCUCCAUUUUAGUGUUUCGGGAUUCAGAUAUGUCCUGUUUAUAACGUCCUCUUAAUUUUUAACAAAAUAAAUCCAGUUCAUUUGACAAUCAGA